Molecule: ribosomal RNA, 550 nt
Filed under: Colletotrichum gloeosporioides
Lineage: Eukaryota; Fungi; Ascomycota; Sordariomycetes; Glomerellales; Glomerellaceae
Description: eukaryotic LSU rRNA
Rfam family: 5.8S ribosomal RNA (bases 172-325)
Source: RNAcentral
ACGGGGGUUUCGCUCUACACCCUUUGUGACAUACCUAUAACUGUUGCUUCGGCGGGUAGGGUCUCCGCGACCCUCCCGGCCUCCCGCCUCCGGGCGGGUCGGCGCCCGCCGGAGGAUAACCAAACUCUGAUUUAACGACGUUUCUUCUGAGUGGUACAAGCAAAUAAUCAAAACUUUUAACAACGGAUCUCUUGGUUCUGGCAUCGAUGAAGAACGCAGCGAAAUGCGAUAAGUAAUGUGAAUUGCAGAAUUCAGUGAAUCAUCGAAUCUUUGAACGCACAUUGCGCCCGCCAGCAUUCUGGCGGGCAUGCCUGUUCGAGCGUCAUUUCAACCCUCAAGCUCUGCUUGGUGUUGGGGCCCUACAGCCGAUGUAGGCCCUCAAAGGUAGUGGCGGACCCUCCCGGAGCCUCCUUUGCGUAGUAACUUUACGUCUCGCACUGGGAUCCGGAGGGACUCUUGCCGUAAAACCCCCCAAUUUUCCAAAGGUUGACCUCGGAUCAGGUAGGAAUACCCGCUGAACUUAAGCAUAUCAUAGUCGGGGAAAGAAUCA